Macrobrachium nipponense is the source of this 5588-nucleotide RNA transcript. It is a transcript of the gene named ensconsin-like, with no coding region annotated. The transcript has 4 exons. The record is from RefSeq and is a predicted model, not a curated record. Lineage: Eukaryota; Metazoa; Arthropoda; Malacostraca; Decapoda; Palaemonidae.
UUUGUGCUUUUGAUAUUUGCACGAUCUCCAGCAAAAGAGUAAUGAUAAUAACUCUCGUCUCGCCCAUGAUGUAGUGUUAUUGUCCCACAUGACGAAACGCCACUGCUAUUUGUUAUAUUGAUUUCAGCUCAGGCCCAGGUGGUCGAUAUUCUGUGAUACUUCGACUGUAGUGAGAGAUAUGUGUCAGAGAGAGAGAGAGAGAGAGAGAGAGAGAGAGAGAGAGAGACUGCAGCAAAUAAGGGAGAUUGGUUCAUUAUAACCAGGCAUCACAACAGUAAAGGCCAUCGACGCAGAGAGAGAGAGAGAGAGAGAGAGAGAGAGAGAGAGAGAGAGAGAGAGAGAGAGGAGCACUUCCCCUUUAUUCCGACGAGGCUGUGGCGUUCAUGAGAAUGGGACACUAAGCAUUCUGGGUUAAGGUGCCCCAUGCCAAUGCGGACUCUUGCUUGUGUAGCAGCCCGUUACCAAAUUGAAAUAGCGUAAAACAGUGUAGUGGAGUGGGCUGUUAGAGCUACAGUGGAUCACAAUAAGACCUUAGGGUUUACUUGGCGGGUAGCAAACCUUGUGGCUGCUGGAAUGAAAUGGCUGAAGGCAUAGGCUUUUGGAGUACUGCGUUGAAGAUCUGUUGGACAUGAACAGCUGAGGAUGGCAUCAAUCUUUCUUGUAAGACCUCCUUCAGGUCUUCAUACUAGGUGGACAUCGGUGCCCCUAACAUCCAGCCACUGUUUGCUGGGGGAAGAGGUAGUCCAGCAUGGCGAUGAGAACGUAAUCUGCCUUCGUCAACGAUGACUGUACACCCUUGAUUCGGAGUGUGACUUUGGCUCGACGGAACAAAGUGUAGGCAUUAGUUGGUGUAAAGGUUGGAAGUUUGACUUGGCCGAUGGUACUGGCAGAAGUGGCAGAAAGGGAUGGUGAUGUUUCAUCAUAGGAAGUUUUGGACGUCUUUGCUGGGUGUUGGUGUGGUGGGGUCACCACUUUAACAGGAGUUGAUCAAGACAAGAGAUAUGAUCUUGAAAUGAUACUUUAUUAAUGAACCACAGCAGUAUUUACAUGAAUUGUUGACCAAUCAGUGGUCAGGAAACUUACACAGUAACUAAUGGACCAAUCAUGUACAAUUAUUUGACAUCAGCCUUUAUGGCUCCUAUAUAGAUGGAAAUCAGGUGUGCUCUCUGUUGGUACCACUGGUGCAUUGGUAUGUGAAUUGUUGUGAGAAUCAUGGAAUUUGGUGAUGUAUUGUCUGAAGCUGACGAUGACCUAUCGCUUGCGGCAUGAGAAAUGCAGGCUUUAGAGUAUUGGCACAGCUUCUUUAUUUAGUUACCAUCUUGAUUAAAGCCUUGUAUCCAAAAAGGGCAACCAAAUCAAGAAGAGGUCAUUGUGGCUAUCAACAAUAAUAUUUGAUGAAAGAGACCAAUAGAAUCUACAACUACAUGCAUACAUAUUCCAGCUUUCAACCUUUUCAUUUUUGAAGCUAUUAGCCUCAAAAGACAAUCCCUUUCCGUUUCUCAGUAUGGUUUUUAUGCAAGGAAUGAUGAUGCUGGUACCAUCCUUCCCAAUUUAAUUGUCACAAAAGACUUACAGAACACAGUGUACAGAUCGGCAUUUAUUGGCAAGUAUCCAUCCACUAACAGGCCAUACACAACUAGAGCAGGCUAGUGUCUAACUAGAUUCCUGCUUAAGCACGUUUUUCAUGAGGGUGGCCCUUUGUCAGGCAACCCAAAAUUCCAUUUAAGAACCGAGUUGAGAUAGAAAAAUAAUGUUUACUAGCAAAGCAACCCUAAGGUGAUCAGUGCUCAUCUGCCGCCCUUCUCGAAAUGAGAGCCCUCGCCUUUCUUCCUCCUGCAGCAGAUGGUUUUCCCAAAUCAAUUAAUAUCCUCAAGGACCUCUGUCUGCAGCACCUGCCAAUGUUGGGAAGGGCAGCACUCAACAAUAUCAAAGACACAGGUGACAAUACCCUUGCCACCCUAGCAGACAAUCUGACGGAUGCCCACACAGCUGCAAACCGCCACCAUGCCCACAACUUUGCUGUCCAUCGAGGAAUGUCCAACCCUUCUGCAACAGAUGACUUUACUAACACCAAUGAGGCUUCCAUGGCUGUCACACCUUUGCAAACUUCCAGGACAAACCUUCACCGCCCACCCCGCCAUCAGAAACCCAAGGAUGCUGACCACACAUAGUAGCAAUCACUGCCGUUUCAGCUUUGCCAAUACUACAGAACAUUCGACCUUGCCACCAAGAACAGCCUCCCAGGAUGACCAUGGCCAAAAAAUGCAUGAAAUGACUACCUCCCCUCGUGGUUGCCGUAUCAAGUGCGUAUCCCUCAAUCAGGGCUAUAGUAAUGUACCUAAAUCUAUCCAUAAUCUUGACACAUCCAGGCACGUGUUCUAUCAGCCCAUCUGUGUUUUUUAUCCUUUGUUCCACCACAGAUACUCAUUUUUUGGUUGACAGUCUUGCCAUUCCCUUCUGGCUGUAUCCAAUCAUCCAACCAAAUACCCAUAGCCACCCAAAGCUUACCUUCAGUCAGAAGCAUCUUGCCCUUAACCUCAGUGACAGAAAGUACCUCUGGCAGUUAUUGGUUGCAGACUUCUCAAUACCUCACUUCAGGGCAGAUUUCCUGGUACACCACCAACUGCUUGUGGACGUCGCCAACAGGUGCGUCUUUGAUGCCACCAAUCUCUCCAUGAUGCCCAUCGAUGCAGUCCCCGCAGAACUCGCCCUCCAUAUCACCGAUUCCAAAGAUGAGUUUGCCUAUCUGCUCCCCUCAUACCCAGAUAUCUUCAAACUAGAAUUACGACAUUCUAAUCAAAUCACUGCGAACCAUGGUAUUUUGCUCUGUAUUAAAACCUCGGGUCCACCUGUACACCCUUGUUUCUGACCUCUACAACUCGAAAAACUUGCGCCGCUGCAAACAAAAUCUUCACAGAAAUGGAGAAGAUGGGUGUGUGUCAAAAGGCAUCCAUCCAGUCCUUGAGCAUCUCCUCUCCACAUAGUAAUAAAAAAGGACGGCACCCUUCACCCAUGCGGGGACUACAGAAGGCUGAAUGUGAUCACCAAGGCUGACCACUGCCCCCUCCUUAACAUCACAGACAUAACCACCUUCCUGUGCAGUGUAAAAAAUUUCUCAAAGCUGGACUUACUCGAAGGUUAUUUCCAGGUCCCCAUGAAUCCCAAAGACAUUCUGAAGACUGCCAUCACAACACCCUUCGGCACCUUCACCUUCAAUUGCUCUUGCUUUGGCCUCCACAAUGCAGGAACUACUUUUCAAUGAUUGAUGGACAACAUCAUGGGAGACCUUCCCUUCUGCAUCUGUUACAUCAGCGAUAUUUUAAUCUCCUCGACAUCACAGGAGGAGCACCUCCAAUACUUGCAUAUUGUCUUCCAAUGCCUGCAAGAAAAGGGCCUUGUUAUGCGACAACAAAUACUCCUUCACCACCAAGAGGGUAGAAUUCUUGGGGCACCUCAUAACCCGAAAAGGUUGCUGCCAUCAGGAAGUUCCCCGCCCUUAUCACCACCAAGGGUCUACUAGAAUUCCUUGGAAUGGUAAUUUAUUAUCAUCUAUUUUUGCCCAGCAUCCCCUCAACUUUGGCCCCAAGCUACGAAGCCCUCGAGGGCAAUCCCAAGGCCCUCACCUGGGGACCCUCGUAAUGAGCCACCUUCACCUCUGCCAGAAACACCUUCACCAAGGCCCUACACCAGCGACGUGGCUAUAGGAGCUGUCUUGGAACAGAUCAUCAUGGCCAUCCUCAACCCCUUGCUUUUGCUCUUGGCAGCAUAGCUCGCUAUUGAACACUUCCAACAUGUUUUGGCGGCCAUGCCUUCCACCCUUCAAACUAACCACCCGCCACUAGUGCAUUCAAUAAACCACCUGUCCGAUGCCUGGUCACCACAUCAGUGCUGCCACCUGUCAGCCAUCACUGAAUUCAACUGCACCCUUUGUCACAUCCCUGGGAAACACAACCCCAUUGCUGACGCCCACUCCAGAAUCUCCAUCGACGCAGUACACCUCAAUAUCGAUUACAAGCAGCUGGCAGACAAGUAACAGCGGAACCCAUCCACCUAAACAACAAUAGCCCUACCUCCAUCCUGUGAUAUCAGCACCAGCCGCCCACACCCAUGGAUCUCACAGUUACUUAGACGUCAUGUGUUCGACAUCAUCCACAGUCUGGCACACCCUUCAGGACGAUCUAUGCCACCCUCCUGAAAAAGUGCUUCAUCUGGCAUGGCAUAUCAAAAGACACAAAGGCAUGGGCCCGUGAAUGUUCUGCCUGCCAACUCUCCAAAAUCCAGUGUCACACAAAUUCAGAUGUAGCUUCCUUUCAUCAACCGCAAUGCCAUUUUAUCCAUGUCCACAUCGACAUUGUAGGACCUAUCCCACUCUCUGAAGGGCAGCGUUACCUACUCAUAAUGGUCUACUGCUUGACAAGAUGGCCCGUAGUCGCCCUUGUGACAGAUGCAUCGGCAGCAGCAUGUGCCAGUGCUUUCCUCUCAUCAUGGGUUUCCAGAUUUGGCAUACCCGAUCACAUCACCUCCAACAGAGGCACUAUGUUCAUGUCACAGCUCUGGACAUCCCUAAACUGCUUCCUCAGCACCCAGUUAUAUCACACAACCGCUUACCAUCCCGAGUCCAAUGGCAUGAUCGAGAGGUUCCAUCUCGCCUUGAAAGCAGACUUCAUGUCUCAUGGUAACUCCUCAACCUGGUAUUCGCAGCUUCCAUGGGUCAUCCUCGGCCUUCAGACCACGCCUAAAGAGGUCCUUGACCUGUCAGCAGCCAAGUUGGUGUAUGGUGAUCUGCUUGUGAUACCUGGUGAAUUCUUCCCCGAUGAUAACACCUCACCUGACAUCAUCGGAAUCCAGACCAUUGUCGGAAAAUUCGCCUCUUGCUGCCCAUUCUACAAGUCAAACAAGAAGACCUUUAUCCCAUAGGAUCUACACAAGGCAACACAUGUUUUCAUCAGAACCAAUGCUGUUCAUCUGACUUUGACCCAGCCUUACACUGGCCCCCACUGCACGAUCGAUUGGGUUACAAUCAGUUGCCUGAAACCAGCAUGUUUACCCGACCAUAUUACACCUCCAGUCCAGUUUUCAAGGACGGGACACCCUCUGAAACGCCGUGAUCAACUCUUGCAGGGGUUGGGUAUUAUGCCAGCACUCUAAAAGCCUGUGUUUCUCAUGCUGCAAGUGACAGGUCGUCACCAGCUUCAGACAAUACGUCGCCAAAUUCCGUGAUUCUGACGAUACCAGUGGUAUGAACAGAGAGUUCACUAGAUUUUCCUCUAUAUUGGAGCCAUAAAAGCUAAUUUUAAACUAUUGUACAUGAUUGGUCCGUUAGUUACUGUGCAAGUGUCCUGGCUGCAGAUUGGUCAGCAAUUCAUAUAAAUACUUCUGUAAUUCAUUUAUAAAGUAUCAUUUCAAGAUCAUACCUUUUGUCUUAAUCAACUCCACCUGAAAAGCCUUUUCCAUCUACUGUGGAAUUAGAAUCCAGUCAUUUGUAAGUAUGACAAUAGCUUGGCUCACCAUACUAUUAGUAUGUGUCUCUAAUUGCCCCCAAGGAAGGAAAUGGCAUCUUACUUCUUAAUACACACACACACACACAC